UACGUAGGGGGCAAGCGUUGUCCGGAUUUAUUGGGCGUAAAGAGCGUGUAGGCGGUCCGGUAAGUCCGCUGUGAAAGUCGGGGGCUCAACCCUCGAAUGCCGGUGGAUACUGUCGGGCUAGAGUGCGGAAGAGGCGAGUGGAAUUCCUGGUGUAGCGGUGAAAUGCGCAGAUAUCAGGAGGAACACCAAUAGCGAAGGCAGCUCGCUGGGACGGUACUGACGCUGAGACGCGAAAGCGUGGGGAGCAAACAGG
This 253-nucleotide ribosomal RNA is filed under the name uncultured bacterium. RNAcentral describes it as "partial 16S ribosomal RNA". It matches the Rfam family "Bacterial small subunit ribosomal RNA", at positions 524 to 776 of the family's 1533-position model. The record is from RNAcentral.